UCUGUUAUUAAGAUGUCUCACUGGGAGGUUUUUUUUUCUAGCUCAGUUGUUUCUGUUCUGUAGGUCACAGCAGAGAGUUGAGGUCCAGCGAGAGCAUCUCUUCUGAAAACAAUAUCGGCAGCAAGGACCCAUAUUUAGCAGACGAUCCCGAGCUCUGGGAUUUCACUCUGGAUGGGAUUGAUGAGCAGAAUAUUCCAGUGUGUGACUCGUCUCCCAAAGGGCCCAGCACUCCCAGUAAUCACCAGAUGCAGACUCGCAGUAAGACGCCUCAGAGAGCUCCAGGCAGACCUUCUGGAUCUUUUGCGGACCGCGUGCCACACAACCAGGCUGUGUACAGACCUCAGCACUACAACCAUCCCCAGGGAAGACCAGGUGAAACCUCUAGUCCAUACAGACACGGACAGGACAUGAAGAAACGCAGACUCGACACCUGAGGUUUUAAGUUAUUAAAUUUUAUCUUGUGUUUUUA
Oryzias melastigma (Indian medaka) is the source of this 469-nucleotide long non-coding RNA. RefSeq lists it as uncharacterized. NCBI's taxonomy places the organism in Eukaryota, Metazoa, Chordata, Actinopteri, Beloniformes, Adrianichthyidae. The transcript is spliced from 3 exons. The record is from RefSeq and is a predicted model, not a curated record.